GACGAACGUUGGCGGCGUGCUUAACACAUGCAAGUCGAACGGAAAGGCCCUGCUUUUGUGGGGUGCUCGAGUGGCGAACGGGUGAGUAACACGUGAGUAACCUGCCCUUGACUUUGGGAUAACUUCAGGAAACUGGGGCUAAUACCGGAUAGGAGCUCCUGCUGCAUGGUGGGGGUUGGAAAGUUUCGGCGGUUGGGGAUGGACUCGCGGCUUAUCAGCUUGUUGGUGGGGUAGUGGCUUACCAAGGCUUUGACGGGUAGCCGGCCUGAGAGGGUGACCGGCCACAUUGGGACUGAGAUACGGCCCAGACUCCUACGGGAGGCAGCAGUGGGGAAUAUUGCACAAUGGGCGGAAGCCUGAUGCAGCAACGCCGCGUGCGGGAUGACGGCCUUCGGGUUGUAAACCGCUUUCGCCUGUGACGAAGCGUGAGUGACGGUAAUGGGUAAAGAAGCACCGGCUAACUACGUGCCAGCAGCCGCGGUGAUACGUAGGGUGCGAGCGUUGUCCGGAUUUAUUGGGCGUAAAGGGCUCGUAGGUGGUUGAUCGCGUCGGAAGUGUAAUCUUGGGGCUUAACCCUGAGCGUGCUUUCGAUACGGGUUGACUUGAGGAAGGUAGGGGAGAAUGGAAUUCCUGGUGGAGCGGUGGAAUGCGCAGAUAUCAGGAGGAACACCAGUGGCGAAGGCGGUUCUCUGGGCCUUUCCUGACGCUGAGGAGCGAAAGCGUGGGGAGCGAACAGGCUUAGAUACCCUGGUAGUCCACGCUGUAAACGGUGGGUACUAGGUGUGGGGUCCAUUCCACGGGUUCCGUGCCGUGGCUAACGCUUUAAGUACCCCGCCUGGGGAGUACGGCCGCAAGGCUAAAACUCAAAGGAAUUGACGGGGCCCCGCACAAGCGGCGGAGCAUGCGGAUUAAUUCGAUGCAACGCGUAGAACCUUACCUGGGUUUGACAUGGAUCGGGAGUGCUCAGAGAUGGGUGUGCCUCUUUUGGGGUCGGUUCACAGGUGGUGCAUGCCUGUCGUCAGCUCGUGUCGUGAGAUGUUGGGUUAAGUCCCGCAACGAGCGCAACCCUUGUUCACUGUUGCCAGCACGUUAUGGUGGGGACUCAGUGGAGACCGCCGGGGUCAACUCGGAGGAAGGUGGGGAUGACGUCAAGUCCUCAUGCCCCUUAUGUCCAGGGCUUCACGCAUGCUACAAUGGCUGGUACAGAGAGUGGCGAGCCUGUGAGGGUGAGCGAAUCUCGGAAAGCCGGUCUCAGUUCGGAUUGGGGUCUGCAACUCGACCUCAUGAAGUCGGAGUCGCUAGUAAUCGCAGAUCAGCAACGCUGCGGUGAAUACGUUCCCGGG
This 1343-nucleotide ribosomal RNA is filed under the name uncultured bacterium. Its description in RNAcentral is "16S ribosomal RNA". It matches the Rfam family "Bacterial small subunit ribosomal RNA", at positions 28 to 1378 of the family's 1533-position model. The record is from RNAcentral.